Molecule: ribosomal RNA, 1867 nt
Filed under: Clostridium saudiense
Lineage: Bacteria; Bacillati; Bacillota; Clostridia; Eubacteriales; Clostridiaceae
Description: bacterial LSU rRNA
Rfam family: Bacterial large subunit ribosomal RNA
Source: RNAcentral
CUCUGAUCCAGAGUACCACGAGACACGUGAAACCUUGUGGGAAGCAGGGAGGACCACCUCCCAAGGCUAAAUACUACCUGAUGACCGAUAGUGAAGCAGUACCGUGAGGGAAAGGUGAAAAGAACCCCGGGAGGGGAGUGAAAUAGAACCUGAAACCGUGUGCCUACAACCGGUCAAAGCCCCAUAUGAGGGUGAUGACGUGCUUUUUGUAGAACGAGCCAACGAGUUACGGUAUGUAGCAAGGUUAAGUACUUAAGGUACGGAGCCGAAGGGAAACCGAGUCUUAAUAGGGCGACUAGUUGCAUGCCGUAGACCCGAAACCGGGUGACCUAUCCAUGGCCAGGUUGAAGCGAGGGUAAAACUUCGUGGAGGACCGAACCACGUUGCUGUUGAAAAAGCAUGGGAUGAGCUGUGGAUAGCGGAGAAAUUCCAAUCGAACUCGGAGAUAGCUGGUUCUCCCCGAAAUAGCUUUAGGGCUAGCGUCGGAUAUGUGUAGUGGAGGUAGAGCACUGAAUGGGCUAGGGGGCAUAUCGCUUACCGAACCUUAUCAAACUCCGAAUGCCAUAUACAUUUAGUCCGGCAGUCAGACUACGAAUGAUAAGAUCCGUGGUCAAAAGGGAAACAGCCCAGAUCGUCAGCUAAGGUCCCAAAGUGUAAGUUAAGUGGAAAAGGAUGUGGGAUUUCUAAGACAACUAGGAUGUUGGCUUAGAAGCAGCCACUCAUUUAAAGAGUGCGUAAUAGCUCACUAGUCGAGAGAUCCUGCGCCGAAAAUGUCCGGGGCUCAAACUUACCACCGAAGCUACGGGCUUGCGUAAGCAAGCGGUAGGGGAGCGUCGUAAUCGGGCUGAAGUCGUACCGUAAGGAGCGGUGGACUGAUUACGAGUGAGAAUGUUGGCAUUAGUAGCGAGAUGUAGGUGAGAAUCCUACAGGCCGAAUAUCUAAGGUUUCCUCAGGAAGGCUCGUCCGCUGAGGGUUAGUCGGGACCUAAGCCGAGGCCGAAAGGCGUAGGCGAUGGACAAUCGGUUGAUAUUCCGAUACCACUACCAUCGUUAUUAUCGAGGGUGUGACGGAGAAGGAUAGUGUGUGCUAGCGAUUGGAAAUGCUAGUCUAAGCGUUUAGGGAGUUACGGUAGGCAAAUCCGCUGUAACAAUUCUGAGGCGUGAUGGGGAAGGCCAUAUAGGCCGAAGUACAUGAUUCCAUGCUUCCAAGAAAAGCAUCUAGAGAGAGAAGUAGUGCCCGUACCGCAAACCGACACAGGUAGAUGAGGAGAGAAUCCUAAGGCCGGCGGAAGAAUUGCAGUUAAGGAACUAGGCAAAUUGACCCCGUAAGUUCGCGAGAAGGGGUGCCUGCGAGAGCAGGCCGCAGAGAAUAGGCCCAAGCAACUGUUUAGCAAAAACACAGGUCUCUGCUAAAGCGUAAGCUGAUGUAUAGGGGCUGACGCCUGCCCGGUGCUGGAAGGUUAAGGGGAACACUUAGCGCAAGCGAAGGUGUGAACUUAAGCCCCAGUAAACGGCGGCCGUAACUAUAACGGUCCUAAGGUAGCGAAAUUCCUUGUCAGGUAAGUUCUGACCCGCACGAAUGGCGUAAUGACUUGGGCACUGUCUCAACUGCAAAUCCGGCGAAGUUGUAGUGCGAGUGAAGAUGCUCGCUACCCGCGAUUGGACGGAAAGACCCCGUAGAGCUUUACUGUAGCUUAGCAUUGAAUUCCGGUAUUGUCUGUACAGGAUAGGUGGGAGACUGGGAAACUAGGGCGUCAGCCUUAGUGGAGUCAACCUUGGGAUACCACCCUGACAGUACUGGGGUUCUAACAGGACGCCAUGAAUCUGGUGACUGGACAUUGUUAGGUGGGCAGUUUGACUGGGGCGGU